UAUGGAUUCAUAGAGGCCGACCACAGAUCUAUCGUGAUGCUUGUGAUUAGAUUUGAAUAGAUUUGAACUCUUAGUCUGACGAGGACAUCAUAGAUUGACUGAGAAAAGUAUAUGAGGACUCGUGCGGACAUGUAUUUAGUCUCACAUUGGUUAUUCGCUGAAGAGAUCUUGGAUACUUAUACAGAAUCAAAAAAUCCAAAAAAUAUCUUCCGAUUAGUCAUUUUGAGUGAAGUUUUGAAUUGUUACAAAUGUAGUGUAUGAGCCACCAGCAAUUCUAAGGUGGAGCCUAGUGACAACAGCAAAAGGAUGGUGAAAAUCUUCUAUUGCAAUAGAGAGAUGCUUACGGACCAUCCCUCAACCAAAAAUAACUCCCCCUGGUUCACAAUGGUUGAAUAAUUCCAAAAUCCUCUGAUGGAAAUGAGAUUAGAGAGAGAUACUUCAAGACUACCCCAGACUCCCCUUGGUUCACAAUGGCCAAAGAACUCCGAGAUGCCAAAUUUCAACAUGAAGAGUGCCAGAUUUUGGUUUGGAUGGUGCAACCACUUGUAGGUCACCUCUGAUGACAAAGCGGCUAACUGCAGUAGAAGAGAAUGGUGAAUAAUUACCUGAUGUACUUAAACACC
This 623-nucleotide long non-coding RNA is filed under the name Phoenix dactylifera (date palm). RNAcentral describes it as "long non-coding RNA (PDAC_LNC015136)". Lineage: Eukaryota; Viridiplantae; Streptophyta; Magnoliopsida; Arecales; Arecaceae. The record is from RNAcentral.